RNAcentral lists this ribosomal RNA (484 nucleotides) under uncultured bacterium. RNAcentral's name for it is "partial 16S ribosomal RNA". It matches the Rfam family "Bacterial small subunit ribosomal RNA", at positions 28 to 507 of the family's 1533-position model. The record is from RNAcentral.
GUUGAACGCUGGCGGCAUGCCUAACACAUGCAAGUCGAGCGGACGAAGGGAGCUUUCUCCUGGCUUCCGCUGCGGACGGGCGAGUAAUGCCUACGAAUCUGACUUGUCGUUAGGGAUAACGUCCGGUCGCGGGCGCUAAUACAGCAUACGUUCUGAGGUAGAAAGUGAGGGAUCUUCGGUGCAAGAGCUAUCAGCUGAGACUAGGUCGGAUUAGCUAGUUGGUUGGGUAAAGGCCUACCAAGGCGACGAUCCGUAACUGGUCUGAGAGGAUGAUCAGUCACACUGGAACUGAGACACGGUCCAGACUCCUACGGGAGGCAGCAGUGGGGAAUAUUGGACAAUGGGCGAAAGCCUGAUGCAGCAACGCCGCGUGUGUGAAGAAGGUCUUCGGAUCGUAAAGCACUGUAAGUUGGGAGGAAGGAAAGUAAGUUAAUCCAUUGCUGUCUUGACGGUACCAACAGAAAAAGCCCCGGCUAACUUCGUG